AGCUAUUUAGCUAUACCCCAAGUAAAUGUUUUGAAAGCAUUUGAAAAUAUAUUUAAUAGCUA
Molecule: transfer RNA, 62 nt
Filed under: Proasellus spelaeus
Lineage: Eukaryota; Metazoa; Arthropoda; Malacostraca; Isopoda; Asellidae
Description: transfert RNA-S2(TCA)
Source: RNAcentral